AUAACUUUGUUUAAAAAUUUAAACAUUCAUCAUACUUUUCUUUUAGGUGCUGGGGAUUAAAUUCGUGUUUGCCAGCCAGGCGCUUACACCACUGAGCUAAAUCCACAGCCCCCACCAUACUUCUCAAUCAGCCCACAAAAGAGGCCUCACGGGUAGGAAGAGAAGGAGCUGGGAGUUAAAGCCAGGAGCUCUGUCCCUACAGCCACGCCUUUAACUUUGUCUUUUAUCAUCUUUGCUGGAAAAAAUUGGACAGAAAAAAAAUACAAAACCAGAUUUCAGAUAUUGGAAAACCUCUCUGGUGACUCUGUCACUUCCUCUGGAGGGAGCAAUUUUUCAACACUGAAUCUGCAGUAAGGAUAUGGUUUGUAAAACUGGGU
RNAcentral lists this long non-coding RNA (377 nucleotides) under Cavia porcellus (domestic guinea pig). Its description in RNAcentral is "lncRNA (ENSCPOG00000030733.1)". Lineage: Eukaryota; Metazoa; Chordata; Mammalia; Rodentia; Caviidae. The record is from RNAcentral.